This 246-nucleotide ribosomal RNA is filed under the name uncultured bacterium. Its description in RNAcentral is "partial 16S ribosomal RNA". It matches the Rfam family "Bacterial small subunit ribosomal RNA", at positions 524 to 768 of the family's 1533-position model. The record is from RNAcentral.
UACAGAGGGUGCGAGCGUUAAUCGGAAUUACUGGGCGUAAAGCGUGCGCAGACGGUCACGUAAGUCGGGUGUGAAAGCCCCGGGCUCAACCUGGGAAUUGCAUUCGAGACUGCGUGGCUAGGGUGCGGAAGAGGGAAGCGGAAUUUCCGGUGUAGCGGUGGAAAUGCGUAGAUAUCGGGAGGAACACCAGUGGCGAAAGCGGCUUCCUGGUCCAGCACCGACGUCAGGCACCGAAAGCGUGGGGAG